GGGUCAGUAACUCAGUGGUAGAGUAUUCGGCUUUUAACCGAUUAGCCGUGGGUUCGAAUCCCACCUGACCUA
Bathycoccus prasinos is the source of this 72-nucleotide transfer RNA. It matches the Rfam family "tRNA". From Rfam's summary of the family: Transfer RNA (tRNA) molecules are approximately 80 nucleotides in length. Their secondary structure includes four short double-helical elements and three loops (D, anti-codon, and T loops). NCBI's taxonomy places the organism in Eukaryota, Viridiplantae, Chlorophyta, Mamiellophyceae, Mamiellales, Bathycoccaceae. The record is from Rfam.